RNAcentral lists this ribosomal RNA (318 nucleotides) under uncultured Chloroflexota bacterium. RNAcentral's name for it is "bacterial SSU rRNA". It matches the Rfam family "Bacterial small subunit ribosomal RNA", at positions 28 to 351 of the family's 1533-position model. Lineage: Bacteria; Bacillati; Chloroflexota. The record is from RNAcentral.
GAUGAACGCUGGCGGCGUGCCUAACACAUGCAAGUCGAACGAAGAGGUUUCCUUCGGGAGAUACUUCAGUGGCGAAUGGGUGAGUAACACGUAGGUGACCUGCCCCGAAGCAGGGGAUAACGGCUCGAAAGGGCCGCUAAUACCCAAAAGGGUCGCGGUUCAAAUCGCGAUCAGAGCUAUGGCGUUUCGGGAGGGGCCUGCGGCCCAUCAGCUUGUUGGUAGGGUAAUGGCCUACCAAGGCGAUGACGGGUAGGGGGCCUGAGAGGGUGGUCCCCCACACUGGCACUGACACACGGGCCAGACACCUACGGGAGGCUG